Long non-coding RNA from Carassius auratus (goldfish), 2358 nucleotides. RefSeq lists it as uncharacterized. The record is from RefSeq and is a predicted model, not a curated record. Lineage: Eukaryota; Metazoa; Chordata; Actinopteri; Cypriniformes; Cyprinidae. The transcript has 14 exons.
CCGAUCUCGUAACGCGCAACGCACCCUUGAUGCGCACUAAUGCUGUCUAGAUAGUGAGCUCGACAGAUCUUGAGACGCAGCCGCUGAGUGCUCCUUUAAAAACUAUCCGAUAGGAAACAGCGGAAGUAUAAUCCAAGUACAAUCCAGUGCAAUUUAACUUUGAUUAUUUGCAGUUUUUUAUUAGUCACUUAUCUGCGGUUUUUAUCAAAACCUUUUAAGUCAAAAGGAAUUUUAAACAUAAAAAUAUUAUUGUGAAAAAUCACUGCCGUAUCCACAAUAUGUCUGUGACUGUGACAGCACACACUGAGCGAAGCAUGUUAAUGAUCCUGGACUGAGCUGGUCAGAUAAAGAGAAAAUAACAUACACUGCUGCACUUGUACCUGGAGAGAAGAAAGGCGCUGAAUGCAGAGCUACAAAGAGCUGUGGCUUCCAGCUGCGAACAUGCUGGGAUUGCAGUCGGUGGUUGAGAGGAAGCUGAUGAGGGAGCAGUUCCUCAAACAGGUCUGGAGAUGGAAAGAUGAAAAGGGGGAUGAGAUUUAUUAUCAGCUGAGAAAACGAGGUGCAUCUCUUGACUGGAGCAGAGCCUGUUUUACGAUGGAUCCGUGCCUGGAUUAAAGUUCCUAAGAUUGCUUUGGGAGUCUCCUACAAAGGAGAAGUUGCAGUUUCAACCACUCGUCCAUAGAUGAUGCUGGGAGACGUGGCUAUUGCUGAUCAUUGAUGACCCUCGAUUUAAAGUUAGAAAAAAAGGGAUCAUCACAGCAAACACAGAGCACUUAUGACCCAUUGUCACUGACUCUAUGGUGGAUGUGACAUUUGGCAAAGGUGCUGUUAAAGUGUCCCCAGCUCAUGACCACACUGACUUCCUGCUCUCCCAAUCCUCACUGUGAUUGGAGGAGAUGGGACCAUGACCUCAGACUGCGGCCAGUGGCUAGAGGGUGUUAAGUGAUUUGAUGCCAGGCAACGAGUAAUUACUGCACCGGUGGAGAGCAAGCUGUUCAGAGGAAUGAAGAAGCAUUCUGUGUCAUUACCAGUCUGCAGUCGUUCUGGAGAUGUCAUUGAACUCUUGCUGAAGAAACCGUGGUUUGUGUGCUGUCAGGAAAUGAGCAGAAAAGCAAUUCAAGCAGUGGAAGAAGGAGAUCUACAGAUAAUUCCUCACUUUUAUACAGAAAUGUAGAAGAGCUGGCUGUCCAACAGCAGCGAUUGGUGUAUUUCCAGACAGCUUUGGUGGGGUCAUCAGAUACCAGAUAAUCAUGUGACACUGCCAAACUCAAAGGACACAGAAGAGAUGGAUACAGUUGAAGUUAUAUUAAGAAAAUGUCCUGGCUCUUUCAGUACUUAUAAUGUCAGUGAAUGGGAGGUAGAGAUUUUGAAGCAAAAUAAAGUGCAUCCAUCCAUCAUUACAAGUGCUCCAGAUGGCUCUGGGGGUUAAUAAAGGCCUUCUGAAAUGAAGUGAUGCAUUUGUGUAUAAAAAUAUCCAUAUUUAAAACUUUAUAAACCAUAAGCUCUAGCUUCAGCUCAAUGCAUACUUGCUGAAUAAAAUUAAUUGAUUUUCACAAAAAAAUUUUUGUCCUGACCACAUUUUAAUAGAUUGUAUAUUUCAAUAUAUUUCAUUGAAAUAAAUAAAUUAAUUAUCUAUGAUGUAUAGUAUAGGAAUCAUAAUUUAUGUUACCAAUUUACGGGUUCUUAUUGAAAACAUUUUCUCUUCCAUGUAAUAGUGACUCUACUAAUGAAUAUGCACUUAUUUAAACCACAUGAAUGAGAUUCGAUAGUGUUCAAUGAAUAACCUAAACACUGGUUAGUUCUUCACACAAAGCUGUUAUAUGUGUUCAGAAUGGAUAGAGUAGAAUUAACUUUAUUGUUGCAUUCUAGAAAAAUUUGUCUUAGACAUCAAAUGGUUAAUUAAAAGCUACCCUAAAAAAAGAGUUUUAAGGCAAGAUUUAAAAAUGCUAAGAGUUUUGGCUUGCCUCAUCUCAAUAGGUAAAGAAUUCCACAGUUUGGGAGCUAAUGAAGAAAGAGCCCUAUCACCCAUCAAUCUUAAACGGGUUAAUGGAACAGUUAAAAGGCCAGCUUCAGAUGAGCGAAGGUCACGUGUUGGAGGAUAAGGAAUUAAAAGCUCAGACAAAUAUUGAGGUGCCAACGCAUGCAAAGCCUUGUAAGUAAGCAUCAAAAUGUUAAAAUCAACCCUAAAGCUAACAGGGAGCCAAUGUAAAGACUCAAAGACAGGAGUAAUAUGAUCUAGUAAGGAUUGAACAUCUAGUAAGGAUUCUAGCAGCCGAAUUUUGCACUAAACCCCCGCCAACAAGGGGUUACAGUAAUCAAUCCUGGUGAACACAAGUGUUAAUCAGCCUCUCAGCAACA